RNAcentral lists this ribosomal RNA (459 nucleotides) under uncultured bacterium. Its description in RNAcentral is "partial 16S ribosomal RNA". It matches the Rfam family "Bacterial small subunit ribosomal RNA", at positions 338 to 795 of the family's 1533-position model. The record is from RNAcentral.
CCUACGGGGGGCAGCAGUGAGGAAUAUUGGUCAAUGGACGAGAGUCUGAACCAGCCAAGUAGCGUGAAGGAUGACUGCCCUAUGGGUUGUAAACUUCUUUUAUAUGGGAAUAAAACAGUGUAUGCAUACCAUCUUGUAUGUACCAUAUGAAUAAGGAUCGGCUAACUCCGUGCCAGCAGCCGCGGUAAUCCGGAGGAUGCGAGCGUUAUCCGGAUUUAUUGGGUUUAAAGGGUGAGUAGGCGGAUGUUUAAGUCAGCGGUAAAAUGUCCGGGCUCAACCCGGGCCGGCCGUUGAAACUGGGGAUCUUGAGUGGGCGAGAAGUAUGCGGAAUGUGUGGUGUAGCGGUGAAAUGCUUAGAUAUCACGAAGAACUCCGAUUGCGAAGGCAGCUCACUGGACCGCAACUGACACUGAGGCUCGAAAGUGUGGGUAUCAAACAGGAUUAGAUACCCUUGUAGUC